GGCCAGACUCCUACGGGAGGCAGCAGUGGGGAAUAUUGCACAAUGGGGGAAACCCUGAUGCAGCGACGCCGCGUGGGUGACGAAGUAUUUCGGUAUGUAAAGCCCUAUCAGCAGGGAAGAAGAUGACAGUACCUGACUAAGAAGCCCCGGCUAACUACGUGCCAGCAGCCGCGGUAAUACGUAGGGGGCAAGCGUUAUCCGGAUUUACUGGGUGUAAAGGGAGCGUAGGCGGUUUAGCAAGUCAGAAGUGAAAGCCCGGGGCUCAACUCCGGGACUGCUUUUGAAACUGUUGAACUAGAUUGCAGGAGAGGUAAGUGGAAUUCCUAGUGUAGCGGUGAAAUGCGUAGAUAUUAGGAGGAACACCGGUGGCGAAGGCGGCCUGCUGGACUGCAACUGACGUUGAGGCCCGAAAGCGUGGGGAGCAAACAGGAUUAGAUACCCCAGUAAA
Molecule: ribosomal RNA, 448 nt
Filed under: uncultured bacterium
Lineage: Bacteria
Description: partial 16S ribosomal RNA
Rfam family: Bacterial small subunit ribosomal RNA
Source: RNAcentral